This 1256-nucleotide ribosomal RNA is filed under the name metagenome. RNAcentral describes it as "bacterial LSU rRNA". It matches the Rfam family "Bacterial large subunit ribosomal RNA", at positions 1689 to 2925 of the family's 2925-position model. The record is from RNAcentral.
CGUGAGAGAACUCUGGUGAAGGAACUAGGCAAAAUAGCACCGUAACUUCGGGAGAAGGUGCGCUGUUGACGGUGAAGGGCCUGCGCCCGGAGCUGUUGGCAGCCGAAGUAACCAGGCCGCUGCAACUGUUUAUUAAAAACACAGCACUCUGCAAACACGAAAGUGGACGUAUAGGGUGUGACGCCUGCCCGGUGCCGGAAGGUUAAUUGAUGGGGUCAGCCGCAAGGCGAAGCUCUUGAUCGAAGCCCCGGUAAACGGCGGCCGUAACAAUAACGGUCCUAAGGUAGCGAAAUUCCUUGUCGGGUAAGUUCCGACCUGCACGAAUGGCGUAAUGAUGGCGGCGCUGUCUCCACCAGAGACUCAGUGAAAUCGAAAUCGCGGUGAAGAUGCCGUGUACCCGUGGCUAGACGGAAAGACCCCGUGAACCUUUACUGUAGCUUCACACUGGACUUUGACAUGAUCUGUGUAGGAUAGCUGGGAGGCUUUGAAGUGGUGACGCUAGUUGCCAUGGAGCCGUCCUUGAAAUACCAGCCUGGUCCUGUCGGGGUUCUAACGUCGACCUGUUAUCCAGGUUACGUACAGUGUGUGGUGGGCAGUUUGACUGGGGCGGUCUCCUCCCAAAGAGUAACGGAGGAGCACGAAGGUGCGCUAAUGACGGUCGGAAAUCGUCAGGUUAGUGUAAAGGCACAAGCGCGCUUGACUGCGAGACAGACAAGUCGAGCAGGUACGAAAGUAGGUCUUAGUGAUCCGGUGGUUCUGUAUGGAAGGGCCAUCGCUCAACGGAUAAAAGGUACUCCGGGGAUAACAGGCUGAUACCGCCCAAGAGUUCAUAUCGACGGCGGUGUUUGGCACCUCGAUGUCGGCUCAUCACAUCCUGGGGCUGAAGCCGGUCCCAAGGGUAUGGCUGUUCGCCAUUUAAAGUGGUACGCGAGCUGGGUUUAGAACGUCGUGAGACAGUUCGGUCCCUAUCUGCCAUGGGCGUUGGAGAUUUGAGAAGAGUUGCUCCUAGUACGAGAGGACCGGAGUGAACGAACCUCUGGUGUACCGGUUGUCACGCCAGUGGCAUUGCCGGGUAGCUAAGUUCGGACGGGAUAACCGCUGAAAGCAUCUAAGCGGGAAGCCUCCUUCAAGAUGAGAUCUCCCUGGAGCUUUAAGCUCCCUGAAGGGCCGUCGAAGACUACGACGUUGAUAGGCGAGGUGUGGAAGCGUUGUGAGACGUUGAGCUGACUCGUACUAAUUGCCCGUGCGGCUUGACC